RNAcentral lists this ribosomal RNA (405 nucleotides) under uncultured Sphingobacteriales bacterium. Its description in RNAcentral is "bacterial SSU rRNA". It matches the Rfam family "Bacterial small subunit ribosomal RNA", at positions 977 to 1382 of the family's 1533-position model. Lineage: Bacteria; Pseudomonadati; Bacteroidota; Sphingobacteriia; Sphingobacteriales. The record is from RNAcentral.
GGGCUUAAAUGUAGAGUGCAUUUUUUAGAGAUAGGAAAUUCCCUUCGGGGCUUUCUGCAAGGUGCUGCAUGGUUGUCGUCAGCUCGUGCCGUGAGGUGUCGGGUUAAGUCCCAUAACGAGCGCAACCCUUAUCGUUAGUUGCCAGCUGGUAAAGCAGGGGACUCUAGCGAAACUGCCACCGUAAGGUGAGAGGAAGGUGGGGAUGACGUCAAAUCAGCAGGCCCUUAUGUCCAGGGCUACACACGUGUUACAAUGGCCGGCACAGAGGGCAGCUACCUGGUGACAGGAUGCUAAUCUCGAAAACCGGUCUCAGUUCGGAUCGAAGUCUGCAACUCGACUUCGUGAAGCUGGAUUCGCUAGUAAUCGCGCAUCAGCCAUGGCGCGGUGAAUACGUUCCCGGGCCUU